This 507-nucleotide ribosomal RNA is filed under the name uncultured bacterium. Its description in RNAcentral is "bacterial SSU rRNA". It matches the Rfam family "Bacterial small subunit ribosomal RNA", at positions 997 to 1501 of the family's 1533-position model. The record is from RNAcentral.
UGUAUAGAGAUAUACCCUUUACUUCGGUAACAGUAUUACAGGUGGUGCAUGGUUGUCGUCAGCUCGUGUCGUGAGAUGUUGGGUUAAGUCCCGUAACGAGCGCAACCCUUGUCUUUAGUUGCUAACAGGUCAAGCUGAGCCCUCUAGAGAGACUGCCGAUGAUAAAUCGGAGGAAGGUGGGGAUGACGUCAAAUCAUCAUGCCCUUUAUGUCCUGGGCUACACACGUGCUACAAUGGUCGGUACAACGAGGAGCUACCUAGCGAUAGGAUGCAAAUCUCUAAAAGCCGAUCCCAGUUCGGAUUGCAGGCUGCAACUCGCCUGCAUGAAGCCGGAGUUGCUAGUAAUCGCGGAUCAGAAUGUCGCGGUGAAUGCGUUCCCGGGUCUUGUACACACCGCCCGUCACACCAUGGGAGUUGGAAAUGCCCGAAGCCAGUGAGCUAACCCGUAAGGGAGGCAGCUGUCGAAGGUAGGGUCAAUGACUAGGGUGAAGUCGUAACAAGGUAUCA